This 253-nucleotide ribosomal RNA is filed under the name uncultured bacterium. Its description in RNAcentral is "partial 16S ribosomal RNA". It matches the Rfam family "Bacterial small subunit ribosomal RNA", at positions 524 to 776 of the family's 1533-position model. The record is from RNAcentral.
UACGAAGGGGGCUAGCGUUGUUCGGAUUCAUUGGGCGUAAAGGGUGCGUAGGCGGCGCGGUAAGUCGGGUGUGAAAUCUUGGAGCUUAACUCCGAAACUGCAUUCGAUACUGCCGUGCUUGAGGACUGGAGAGGAGACUGGAAUUUACGGUGUAGCGGUGAAAUGCGUAGAUAUCGUAAGGAAGACCAGUGGCGAAGGCGGGUCUCUGGACAGUUCCUGACGCUGAGGCACGAAGGUCAGGGGAGCAAACGGG